GAUGAACGCUGGCGGCGUGCCUAAUACAUGCAAGUCGAGCGAACAGACGAGGAGCUUGCUCCUCUGACGUUAGCGGCGGACGGGUGAGUAACACGUGGAUAACCUUCCUAUAAGACUGGGAUAACUUCGGGAAACCGGAGCUAAUACCGGAUAAUAUAUUGAACCGCAUGGUUCAAUAGUGAAAGACGGUUUUGCUGUCACUUAUAGAUGGAUCCGCGCCGCAUUAGCUAGUUGGUAAGGUAACGGCUUACCAAGGCAACGAUGCGUAGCCGACCUGAGAGGGUGAUCGGCCACACUGGAACUGAGACACGGUCCAGACUCCUACGGGAGGCAGCAGUAGGGAAUCUUCCGCAAUGGGCGAAAGCCUGACGGAGCAACGCCGCGUGAGUGAUGAAGGUCUUCGGAUCGUAAAACUCUGUUAUUAGGGAAGAACAAAUGUGUAAGUAACUAUGCACGUCUUGACGGUACCUAAUCAGAAAGCCACGGCUAACUACGUG
RNAcentral lists this ribosomal RNA (497 nucleotides) under uncultured bacterium. Its description in RNAcentral is "partial 16S ribosomal RNA". It matches the Rfam family "Bacterial small subunit ribosomal RNA", at positions 28 to 507 of the family's 1533-position model. The record is from RNAcentral.